AGCAUAUUGGUCUUGCAUCUAGAAAAUGUUAUUGAUUUAGAGAUUGGGCUUGUAAUAGUAUGACCAGUCAUUUAUUAGUACUGAGCCAAUUAACCAAUAUAGAGAUAAAACCUUUGUAUAUCCUAAAUCAUAAACUACAUGGCCAUGUUCCUUGCUCAUAUAAAAAUUCUUUCUUUUGUCAUCCAAUCCAAUAUCAGUAUUCAUUCUAAGUACUAAAGGUUAAUGGCAUAUACCACAAGAGAGCCUGCAGGACACUUUGCCAUCUGUUCUCGUCCAACCCCUAGAAUUAUCCUCCAAACAUUUUUAUUUUAGUAACCACAUGCAUAAAACUAUUCCAUGAGAACAAAUUCUCAAUAUUACUGGAAUUGGAGGUGAAAAUUGAAUUGUCAAUUGAUGAUAAUCAAAAUAAGUAUUAUAAACAAUUGAAUUUUUCACCCUUUUUUUGUCACGUUGGUAUUAUGAUUGUAAAAUCUUAGGGCAAAAAAAAAAAAUAUAUUUGUAUA
RNAcentral lists this unclassified non-coding RNA (503 nucleotides) under Hevea brasiliensis (rubber tree). The record is from RNAcentral. Lineage: Eukaryota; Viridiplantae; Streptophyta; Magnoliopsida; Malpighiales; Euphorbiaceae.